AGGACGAACGCUGGCGGCGUGCUUAACACAUGCAAGUCGAACGAGGCGCUUGCGCCUAGUGGCGAACGGGUGAGUAACACGUGAGCAACCUGCCCUUGGCUCUGGGAUAGCCUCCGGAAACGGGGAUUAAUACCGGACAUGACCUUCUCCUGCAUGGGGGAGGGUGGAAAGUUUUUCGGCCAGGGAGGGGCUCGCGGCCUAUCAGCUUGUUGGGGGGGUAACGGCCCACCAAGGCGACGACGGGUAGCCGGCCUGAGAGGGCGACCGGCCACACUGGGACUGGGACACGGCCCAGACUCCUACGGGAGGCAGCAGUGGGGAAUAUUGCACAAUGGGGGAAACCCUGAUGCAGCGACGCCGCGUGCGGGAUGAAGGCCUUCGGGUUGUAACCGCUUUCAGCAGGGGCGAAUUCAGACGGUACCUGCAGAAGAAGCGCCGGCUAACUACGUGCCAGCAGCCGC
Molecule: ribosomal RNA, 461 nt
Filed under: uncultured bacterium
Lineage: Bacteria
Description: SSU rRNA
Rfam family: Bacterial small subunit ribosomal RNA
Source: RNAcentral